UAAUGAGGCGAACCGGGGGAACUGAAACAUCUAAGUACCCCGAGGAAAAGAAAUCAACCGAGAUUCCCCCAGUAGCGGCGAGCGAACGGGGAGCAGCCCAGAGCCUGAAUCAGUAUGUGUGUUAGUGGAAGCGUCUGGAAAGGCGCGCGAUACAGGGUGACAGCCCCGUACACAAAAAUGCACAUGCUGUGAGCUCGAUGAGUAGGGCGGGACACGUGGUAUCCUGUCUGAAUAUGGGGGGACCAUCCUCCAAGGCUAAAUACUCCUGACUGACCGAUAGUGAACCAGUACCGUGAGGGAAAGGCGAAAAGAACCCCGGCGAGGGGAGUGAAAAAGAACCUGAAACCGUGUACGUACAAGCAGUGGGAGCACGCUUAGGCGUGUGACUGCGUACCUUUUGUAUAAUGGGUCAGCGACUUAUAUUCUGUAGCAAGGUUAACCGAAUAGGGGAGCCGAAGGGAAACCGAGUCUUAACUGGGCGUUAAGUUGCAGGGUAUAGACCCGAAACCCGGUGAUCUAGCCAUGGGCAGGUUGAAGGUUGGGUAACACUAACUGGAGGACCGAACCGACUAAUGUUGAAAAAUUAGCGGAUGACUUGUGGCUGGGGGUGAAAGGCCAAUCAAACCGGGAGAUAGCUGGUUCUCCCCGAAAGCUAUUUAGGUAGCGCCUCGUGAAUUCAUCUCCGGGGGUAGAGCACUGUUUCGGCAAGGGGGUCAUCCCGACUUACCAACCCGAUGCAAACUGCGAAUACCGGAGAAUGUUAUCACGGGAGACACACGGCGGGUGCUAACGUCCGUCGUGAAGAGGGAAACAACCCAGACCGCCAGCUAAGGUCCCAAAGUCAUGGUUAAGUGGGAAACGAUGUGGGAAGGCCCAGACAGCCAGGAUGUUGGCUUAGAAGCAGCCAUCAUUUAAAGAAAGCGUAAUAGCUCACUGGUCGAGUCGGCCUGCGCGGAAGAUGUAACGGGGCUAAACCAUGCACCGAAGCUGCGGCAGCGACGCUGAUGCGUUGUUGGGUAGGGGAGCGUUCUGUAAGCCUGCGAAGGUGUGCUGUGAGGCAUGCUGGAGGUAUCAGAAGUGCGAAUGCUGACAUAAGUAACGAUAAAGCGGGUGAAAAGCCCGCUCGCCGGAAGACCAAGGGUUCCUGUCCAACGUUAAUCGGGGCAGGGUGAGUCGACCCCUAAGGCGAGGCCGAAAGGCGUAGUCGAUGGGAAACAGGUUAAUAUUCCUGUACUUGGUGUUACUGCGAAGGGGGGACGGAGAAGGCUAUGUUGGCCGGGCGACGGUUGUCCCGGUUUAAGCGUGUAGGCUGGUUUUCCAGGCAAAUCCGGAAAAUCAAGGCUGAGGCGUGAUGACGAGGCACUGCGGUGCUGAAGCAACAAAUGCCCUGCUUCCAGGAAAAGCCUCUAAGCAUCAGGUAACAUCAAAUCGUACCCCAAACCGACACAGGUGGUCAGGUAGAGAAUACCAAGGCGCUUGAGAGAACUCGGGUGAAGGAACUAGGCAAAAUGGUGCCGUAACUUCGGGAGAAGGCACGCUGAUAUG
This 1545-nucleotide ribosomal RNA is filed under the name Escherichia coli. RNAcentral describes it as "partial 23S ribosomal RNA". It matches the Rfam family "Bacterial large subunit ribosomal RNA", at positions 172 to 1758 of the family's 2925-position model. Lineage: Bacteria; Pseudomonadati; Pseudomonadota; Gammaproteobacteria; Enterobacterales; Enterobacteriaceae. The record is from RNAcentral.